CGUUUGACGAACAACAAGGAUGAACGAUGCAUCAUGCGUAUUAUGCGUGAAACGGAACGCACCCUAGUAGUGCAGCGAAAAUGAACAAACAUUAUAUAUAUAUAUAUAAUUUUUUGGAACACGCAAGAUGGAAAACAUAACCUGGUAGUUCAGAAACACGUAUUAAUGUAAUGCUUUUAUAAUUAAUAAGCUUUUUAGAAAUUGUUAUACGUGUCUUAUUUUUGUAUAGGCAUUAAACAGCAAUUUACAAAUAAUACAAAGAUUUCGUUCGAUACAACCAACGGCGAGUACAAAAGAAAUUAAAAUACGUAAUAUAUCAAUUAAAUUAAUAGAUAUUAUAAAUGAUUAUAAGAGGCAAGGAAUUAAAACUGUUGUAGUAAAAAACAAAGAAAAUCUGUAAAAAAAGGAAGUAUUGAGGGGAACAAUCAAAAUUAUCCAGAAGAAAUAAUGGAUAAGAAAGAUUCUUUAAAUUAUAAUUAUAUACUGAAAAGUACUGUCAGUAUUGGUACUGAAAAAACAUUGAUACUGAAGUAGCAACAAUUUUUCAGUAGCGAAAAUACAGAAUACAAUAAUAAAACUAACACAUCAAGCAGCGAUAUAAGUAACAUUAUAGAUUCAAGCUUAUAUAAUCUCUUUGACAAAAUCUGAAACUGAAAUAUGCAAAUUUCUUAGUACUAAUCAAUCAACAAGUUGCAACAUAAAUAAUAAAUCAAGGGACAUAAACUUAAAUAAAAAUUAUAUACAUAAUAUUAUUGAAAAUAAAAUCUUACCAAUACUAAAUAUAAACAAAAAAGCUGUUAUUAAGAAAAACUACAUUAGAGAAAAAGGAUGCAUAUAGAAACACAAUUGAAGAUAAUUCUUCUGGUCUUAAUGCAUAAUAAUUAAAGAUCAAAUUAAAAUGAUUUUUAAAAUAAUGAAAUGAGGAAUUAUUUGAUUCCAAAUGGAUGUUGUAUGUCCUCCGAUUGCGAAGAUAAUAUAAUAAAUGAUAUUUCUUUAAAUAAAACUAGCAAAAUGAAUAUACUAUCAAAGCAGACAUUUGAAAUUGAAACAGAAUAUUGUAAUAUUCAGAAAGGUGGUAUACUGCCAAAAAGUCAACGAAACAAUUGUAUAUUCUCAACAAGAUGAAGAUGAAGAUUUUACACAGUUUACUGUCACACAACAUGAAAAUUUAAUGACUAAAAACAUGCAAAACAAAAACAUUUUACAUUCCGUUGCCAAAAACAUACAUGAUAAGAAAAUUACAACACAUUUGAAUAAUGAUUGCAAUAAUAAUUUAAAAAAGAGAAGUUACUGAAUAUGUUAAAUAUAAUAAACCAAGAUGGUAGCAAUGACGAUAGUUUAUGACCAAAUGUAACACAAGAUAUUACUAGUGAAUAUAUACCAAAUAAAACUAAAAGUUUAGAAACUAAUAAAACAGGAGUAACAACAAACUCAGAAAAUAGUAUUAAUAAAGUAAUGUAUCUGAAAGAAAUAAAUAUGAUCAACUAAAUUUAAUAUUCCUGGAAAUAGUGGCUGUGAUAAAUCUGAAUUAAUUACUAAAUUAUCACGUGGUCUUCAAGGCAACAAAAAAAUUUUUGUUUAUUUUCUCACACUCUGCAAAAUAAAAUAGCGCGUCAUUUGGAAACCAAACAUUGUAAUGAAGAUCUAGUUGAAGAUUUUAUGCAUUUACCAGGAGGAUGUGCUGAACGUUUGCGUAAAAUGGCAAGUAAAAUUAAAGAAGUAAAUUUUAUUUUUAUAUGCAAUCAUGAUCGAAUAAUAACAGUUAGAAAACUUACAAAAAAAGAAAAACAAUAAAGUAUAAAUUUUGAUAACUGCGUCUAUUGUAAUGGAUUUUAUGCGCGAAAUAAUUUAAGACAUUAUUUCCAGCAGUGUAAUAAAAUUAAAAAAUCACAUUUUUUGUGAAUCUUACAAAAAACUCGGCAAAGUAUUGUCAAAUAUUACCCAGAGGCAAGUAGAAGAAUAAGAGUAAAAAUAUUGCAUAUCUUGCAAGAAGAUGAAGUAAUCAAAACUAUUAGAUACAAUCGUACAAUCAUUCUGUAUAGAAAUAGUAUUUGUAAAACGCAAAUUCAUCAACAUCCAAUACUAUGCAAGAUUAUUUGUUUUUUAGGUCGUUUAGUAUUAGCUUUUAGAAAUUGAUACUCUGAUAUUAACACUUUAGCAGCUGCAUAUACUCCAGAAUUUUACAGAACUUUAAUUAAGGCAAUUAAUGAUAUUGAAGAAUUAGAUUAAAACUAUAACAAAUAUAUAUAUACACAUUCGACUAAUGCUUCUAUUCUUGUUUAAAAAAGAUUAGUAGAAUCUUAGAUGUUACAUAUAUGAUAGAUAAAAAUUUAAUAAAGCGGAAAGAUGUUGAUGAUUUUACGAAAAAUAUAUGAUGUAGAAGUUUUAGCGGAAUUAUAAAUAAAGUAGCAACAAAAACUCAUAUAAAAGUUAAACGACAAAAAAAGAUGAUAUUACCUCAACACGUAACAUUAAAUUUCUUAGUGAUUAUUUAAAAAAAAUGGAAGAAUAUAGUAAAAUAUUAACAAAAGAAUUUUCAUAUGCAAUGUGGAAACCAUUAGCAGAGAUAACACUCAUCGCCAUUCAAGUUUUUAAUCAUUGUCGAGCUGGAGGAACAGAAAGAAUUUUAAUUAAAGACUUUAAAAACCAUGAGUGUGAUUAUGGGACAGGUUCUAUAAAAAUUGUAUACAAGAUUCAUUUGAUAAGACCUAUGACUAUAUUAGAUUUACUAUUCGCGGUAAAUUACAUAGAACUCUUCCAGUACUGUUAGAUGCACAUAUAUUAAAAAGUAUUCAACUUUUGCUAUAAUUUCAAAAAAAUGCUAAUGUGCCAUCAGAUAAUCUUUUUUGUUUGGAUUACCCAAUAAUUAAAAUGAAAAUAAACAUGCUUAUAAACAAAUGCGAGGUUUUGCAAGCCUAUGUGGAGUAAAAAAUAGCUCCGCACUUUGUCUAACUACUUUGCGCAAACAUGUGCAACAGAAUGAGUGGAUAUAAACUUGUUGGAUAAUCAAAUGUCGAGAGUAGCAAACUUCAUGGAUCAUCAUAAUAUCAUACCUACAAAACAUAUCUACAAAAAAAUCUAUAGCAACCUGUUGCUAAAGUCGACAUACUAGAAAUGUCAAAAAUUUUAGAAAAAAAUCAAGGCGUGGAUAUAACAGUUUCUAAUGAUGGAGUUGACAUAACUAUCAACAGUAAAGACGAUAAUUUUUUCUUCAAUCAAGGUUAAUAAUUAUAUUAAGUUUAAUUCAUUUUAAUUAAGGUAAUUUUAUUAUGUAGGAUCAAACUUUGCGGGGGUCCAAGGGAAACUUAUUUAAAUUGUACAUUUACAUUUGUUCUUUUUUUUGUACAGUACGGACCUACAAAAAUGUAAUAACACUAGCUACAGAAAAAAUGUUCGAUAUACGUAAAAUUCUCUAAAUCUUUCACCAUUUCACUCUUAUAUGCAACCUUAAGAGGAUUCUUCCCAAAA
Long non-coding RNA from Monomorium pharaonis (pharaoh ant), 3468 nucleotides. RefSeq lists it as uncharacterized. The record is from RefSeq and is a predicted model, not a curated record. The transcript is spliced from 4 exons. Lineage: Eukaryota; Metazoa; Arthropoda; Insecta; Hymenoptera; Formicidae.